Molecule: ribosomal RNA, 253 nt
Filed under: uncultured bacterium
Lineage: Bacteria
Description: partial 16S ribosomal RNA
Rfam family: Bacterial small subunit ribosomal RNA
Source: RNAcentral
UACGGAGGGGGCUAGCGUUGUUCGGAAUUACUGGGCGUAAAGCGCACGUAGGCGGCUUUGCAAGUCAGAGGUGAAAGCCCGGGGCUCAACCCCGGAAUUGCCUUUGAGACUGCAUCGCUAGAAUUGUGGAGAGGUAAGUGGAAUUCCGAGUGUAGAGGUGAAAUUCGUAGAUAUUCGGAAGAACACCAGUGGCGAAGGCGACUUACUGGACACAUAUUGACGCUGAGGCGCGAAAGCAUGGGGAUCAAACAGG